This 60-nucleotide small nuclear RNA is filed under the name Carlito syrichta (Philippine tarsier). RNAcentral's name for it is "U7 small nuclear RNA (ENSTSYG00000024503.2)". It matches the Rfam family "U7 small nuclear RNA". From Rfam's summary of the family: Animal histone pre-mRNAs are spliced by a different mechanism than nuclear pre-mRNAs and self-splicing introns. This processing involves the U7 snRNP, which contains only one RNA species: U7. The 5' end of U7 RNA is thought to base-pair to a conserved spacer element downstream of the cleavage site in histone pre-mRNA. The record is from Rfam by way of RNAcentral. Lineage: Eukaryota; Metazoa; Chordata; Mammalia; Primates; Tarsiidae.
AAGUGUUCUACCUCUUUUAGAUUUUGUCAAGCAGUUUUCUGGUUUUACUGGAAUGCUCUC